This 497-nucleotide ribosomal RNA is filed under the name uncultured bacterium. RNAcentral's name for it is "partial 16S ribosomal RNA". It matches the Rfam family "Bacterial small subunit ribosomal RNA", at positions 28 to 507 of the family's 1533-position model. The record is from RNAcentral.
GAUGAACGCUGGCGGCGUGCCUAAUACAUGCAAGUCGAGCGAACGGACGAGAAGCUUGCUUCUCUGAUGUUAGCGGCGGACGGGUGAGUAACACGUGGAUAACCUACCUAUAAGACUGGGAUAACUUCGGGAAACCGGAGCUAAUACCGGAUAAUAUUUUGAACCGCAUGGUUCAAAAGUGAAAGACGGUCUUGCUGUCACUUAUAGAUGGAUCCGCGCUGCAUUAGCUAGUUGGUAAGGUAACGGCUUACCAAGGCAACGAUGCAUAGCCGACCUGAGAGGGGGAUCCGCCACACUGGAACUGAGACGCGGUCCAGACUCCUACGGGAGGCAGCAGUAGGGAAUCUUCCGCGAUGGGCGAAAGCCUGACGGAGCAACGCCGCGUGAGUGAUGAAGGUCUUCGGAUCGUAUAACUCUGUUAUUAGGGAAGAACAUAUGUGUAAGUAACUGUGCACAUCUUGACGGUACCUAAUCAGAAAGCCACGGCUAACUACGUG